Molecule: transfer RNA, 71 nt
Filed under: Amphimedon queenslandica
Lineage: Eukaryota; Metazoa; Porifera; Demospongiae; Haplosclerida; Niphatidae
Rfam family: tRNA
About the family: Transfer RNA (tRNA) molecules are approximately 80 nucleotides in length.
Source: Rfam by way of RNAcentral
AUGUCUGUAACUUAAAGGAAAAAUGUCUGACUUCGGAACAGAGUAUGUGGGUUCGAUUCCUCCCAGGUAAU